CAGCGCCGCGGUAAUACGGAGGGUGCAAGCGUUAAUCGGAAUUACUGGGCGUAAAGCGCACGCAGGCGGUCUGACAAGUCAGAUGUGAAAUCCCCGGGCUUAACCUGGGAACUGCAUUUGAAACUGUCAGGCUGGAGUCUUGUAGAGGGGGGUGGAAUUCCAGGUGUAGCGGUGAAAUGCGUAGAGAUCUGGAGGAAUACCGGUGGCGAAGGCGGCCCCCUGGACAAAGACUGACGCUCAGGUGCGAAAGCGUGGGGAGCAAACAGGAUUAGAUACCCCUGUAGUCCCUGUCUCUUAUACC
This 301-nucleotide ribosomal RNA is filed under the name uncultured bacterium. RNAcentral describes it as "partial 16S ribosomal RNA". It matches the Rfam family "Bacterial small subunit ribosomal RNA", at positions 509 to 808 of the family's 1533-position model. The record is from RNAcentral.